RNAcentral lists this ribosomal RNA (241 nucleotides) under uncultured Clostridiaceae bacterium. RNAcentral describes it as "partial 16S ribosomal RNA". It matches the Rfam family "Bacterial small subunit ribosomal RNA", at positions 92 to 334 of the family's 1533-position model. The record is from RNAcentral. Lineage: Bacteria; Bacillati; Bacillota; Clostridia; Eubacteriales; Clostridiaceae.
AGAGCGGCGGACGGGUGAGUAACGCGUGGGUAACCUGCCCUGUACACACGGAUAACAUACCGAAAGGUAUGCUAAUACGGGAUAAUAUAUAAGAGUCGCAUGACUUUUAUAUCAAAGAUUUUCGGUACAGGAUGGACCCGCGUCUGAUUAGCUUGUUGGCGGGGUAACGGCCCACCAAGGCGACGAUCAGUAGCCGACCUGAGAGGGUGAACGGCCACAUUGGAACUGAGACACGGUCCAA